CAAUAGCGUAUAUUUAAGUUGUUGCAGUUAAAAAGCUCGUAGUUGGAUUUCGGGCGCGUCGCGUUGGUCCGCCAACGGUGAGUACUGGCGUCGGCGCGCCUUCCUGCCGGGGACGGGCUCCUGGGCUUCACUGUCUGGGACUCGGAGUCGGCGACGUUACUUUGAGAAAAUUAGAGUGUUCAAAGCAGGCCUACGCUCGAAUACUUUAGCAUGGAAUAACACGAUAGGACUCUGGCCUAUCCUGUUGGUCUGUAGGACCGGAGUAAUGAUUAAGAGGGACAGUCGGGGGCAUUCGUAUUUCAUUGUCAGAGGUGA
RNAcentral lists this ribosomal RNA (315 nucleotides) under Mychonastes sp. ACT 1006. Its description in RNAcentral is "SSU rRNA". It matches the Rfam family "Eukaryotic small subunit ribosomal RNA", at positions 592 to 914 of the family's 1831-position model. Lineage: Eukaryota; Viridiplantae; Chlorophyta; Chlorophyceae; Sphaeropleales; Mychonastaceae. The record is from RNAcentral.